UUGGCACUUUAAUAUGUGUUUUAAUUCUUAUUAAUGCAUAAAUUAAAUCCGUUGCACAUUGAGUGUAUACAUUGCAUCACAGAGGAAAAUAACCUCUCCUCUUAUGCAGUACACUUUUCCAGCCUCUAAACCCUUAAUUUAUUGUACGAUCAUAUUUCAAUACAAGUUCACAACACCCUCUCUCUUUAUAUGUAUCAGAAGCAGAUACUGCCCUUCGUCUCCACCUUUUCCACCUCCUUCACCACCAUCGCCGUCCACCCUCGCAGAACAAGAAACACACGUUAACAGUACUAGAGAGAGAUGGAUCAUGGUAAUCAUGGUAUGGGAGGGAUGGGUCCAACCAUGAACAAUACCAACAGCACUGGAGGGAUGAUGAUGCGUCCCCACCACAAGAUGAUGAUGCAUAUGACCUUCUUCUGGGGUAAGAAUGCUGAAAUUCUCUUCGAUGGCUGGCCUGGCACUAGAACUGGAAUGUAUGUUUUGGCCCUCAUAUCUGUUUUUUUCUUUGCUUUUUUUGUCGAGUGGCUCUCUCAUUGCCAAUUGAUUAAGCCUGAUUCUACCCACCUAGCUGCCGGUUUAAUCCAGACUUUCUUGCACGCUCUGAGGAUUGGUUUGGCCUACCUGGUCAUGUUGGCUGUUAUGUCCUUCAAUGGUGGUGUUUUCUUGGUGGCUGUGGCAGGUCAUACUCUUGGGUUCUUGUUUUUUGGGAGUAGGGUUUUCAAGAAAUCGCCACCGCCUGUAAAAACCUCUGAUCUUCCUCUAAUGAGUUGUUGAAUCUUGUCCGAGGAAGACAGUGUCUGGUUCUUGGGUUUGGAUUUGCAGAUUCUCCAAUUGCGUUUACAUGGCUUGAAAGAAUAAUUAUAUGUAGAAUUGAAUAUGAAGAAUAGUGUUGGAUUGAAGUGUACAAGUUAUUUACUUGUGAAAUUUUAUCUAAUUAAGCCUAAAUUUUUUUGUUUUUAUCAGUUGAUAAUUGCGUUCAUAGAUUUAUUUUAAACCCAAUUAGUUUCUCCUGAUCAAGAAGAUGAUAUUUGUGUGGUUAA
This 1040-nucleotide unclassified non-coding RNA is filed under the name Hevea brasiliensis (rubber tree). The record is from RNAcentral. Lineage: Eukaryota; Viridiplantae; Streptophyta; Magnoliopsida; Malpighiales; Euphorbiaceae.